This 465-nucleotide ribosomal RNA is filed under the name uncultured bacterium. Its description in RNAcentral is "partial 16S ribosomal RNA". It matches the Rfam family "Bacterial small subunit ribosomal RNA", at positions 28 to 507 of the family's 1533-position model. The record is from RNAcentral.
GACGAACGCUGGCGGCGUGCUUAACACAUGCAAGUCGAACGGAAAGGCCCUGCUUGCCGGGUACUCGAGUGGCGAACGGGUGAGUAACACGUGGGUGAUCUGCCCUGCACUUCGGGAUAAGCCUGGGAAACUGGGUCUAAUACCGGAUAGGAGCCAUUUUUAGUGUGAUGGUUGGAAAGUUUUUUCGGUGUAGGAUGAGCUCGCGGCCUAUCAGCUUGUUGGUGGGGUAAUGGCCUACCAAGGCGGCGACGGGUAGCCGGCCUGAGAGGGUGGACGGCCACAGUGGGACUGAGAUACGGCCCAGACUCCUACGGGAGGCAGCAGUGGGGGAUAUUGCACAAUGGGCGCAAGCCUGAUGCAGCGACGCCGCGUGGGGGAUGACGGCCUUCGGGUUGUAAACUCCUUUCGCUAGGGACGAAGCUUUUUGUGACGGUACCUAGAUAAGAAGCACCGGCUAACUACGUG